Arachis ipaensis is the source of this 145-nucleotide non-coding RNA. The record is from RefSeq and is a predicted model, not a curated record. Lineage: Eukaryota; Viridiplantae; Streptophyta; Magnoliopsida; Fabales; Fabaceae.
AAGCAUAAUGAACUAAAUUCUCAAGGACCUAUUUGUCCUUCGAACUUUAUUUGCAAAAUGACGUCAAGGACUUAUUUUCCUUCGAACUUUAUUCUCCUUCCAGCGUGGCACCGUAACGGACACCUGGACACCAUGCAACCCAUGA